This 433-nucleotide ribosomal RNA is filed under the name uncultured bacterium. RNAcentral describes it as "partial 16S ribosomal RNA". It matches the Rfam family "Bacterial small subunit ribosomal RNA", at positions 29 to 507 of the family's 1533-position model. The record is from RNAcentral.
AACGAACGCUGGCGGCAUGCCUAACACAUGCAAGUCGAACGAGACCUUCGGGUCUAGUGGCGCACGGGUGCGUAACGCGUGGGAACCUGCCCUUAGGUUCGGAAUAACUCCCCGAAAGGGGUGCUAAUACCGGAUAAUGUCUUCGGACCAAAGAUUUAUCGCCUUUGGAUGGGCCCGCGUUGGAUUAGCUAGUUGGUAGGGUAAAAGCCUACCAAGGCGACGAUCCAUAGCUGGUCUGAGAGGAUGAUCAGCCACACUGGGACUGAGACACGGCCCAGACUCCUACGGGAGGCAGCAGUGGGGAAUAUUGGACAACGGGCGAAAGCCUGAUCCAGCAAUGCCGCGUGAGUGAUGAAGGCCUUAGGGUUGUAAAGCUCUUUUACCCGGGACGAUAAUGACAGUACCGGGAGAAUAAGCUCCGGCUAACUCCGUG